Cyprinus carpio carpio is the source of this 1330-nucleotide long non-coding RNA. Lineage: Eukaryota; Metazoa; Chordata; Actinopteri; Cypriniformes; Cyprinidae. The record is from Ensembl.
CUGAGAAGAAGUCCACGUAUUUAAAUUAAACCCAAGUAUCUACAGUACUAUCUAUCUGAAAUUUUGCUAUUGAUUUUCUAUAUUUUCAUGUAUGCAUCAUGUAUUUUUCUUUUGAAUUACUCUGUAUUUCUGUAUUUUUGGUUUUGAUUUAAGGAAAAGGUUGUGGCGAGUCUUUUGAUAAGACUCGAGUGGGGGAUUGGUGUGUGGAGAUUCUAAGAAAUCCACAUGGUGAUAGAGAUUCUGAGAAGAAGUCCACGUAUUUAAAUUAAACCCAAGUGUUGCUGAGAGAUUCUGAGAAGUCACGUACUCAAAAUGUGUUCUAUUCAUAAUAAGUUUCAUUUCAAAAGUUAAAAAUUAAUAUUUCAUGGUAAGGAUCUGUCUCAUAUAUAUAUAUAUUAACAGGUUUCAUUUUUAUAUUCAAAAAUGUUUUAGGUAAACUUUAUGGUAUAUUUCAUAUGUAAUUUCACAGUAUUUCUAACUGCGUAGUCAGCUGAGUCUGUUUUGCAUAUGAAGUUGAAACAAACUGGAACAACAACGUAUAUAAGAUAGACUCUGCAAAAUAGAAUAGGGUUUGACUUUCUGAGACUCUGGUCUCUCUAUCUUUUCAGCUCACUUCCUCUUCUUUGGCUUCACUCGACAACUCUUAGACUCAGACUUAGAACUCUUACAGGUUUUUAUUCAAAUUCAGAUACCUUGAAAUUCAGAUACUUUGAUACUCUGAUACUUUGAUAUUUUAAUAUUUGAAUACUUAAUAUUUUGGUACUUUUGAUUCGAACAGAAUAAUUGUUUAUGUUUUAAUUACAAUUGUAUUAAUGUUUUGAUUAAUACUGGUUGGGUUCAAUCCAUCAUAAAUGGAUUGUUAUUAAAAAUGUACUAACAUUGGAUUUACAUUUUCUAUAUUUGAAGGUUGUUACUAUUAUCCAGAACUUUAUUUCCAAGUUAUGAUUUGUGGUUUCUGUUCUCUAUAUUCUUUUUAAUAAAUUUACAUAUUAUUACACCUUGACCGUCUGAAUUGGAUUAAAUUUUGCAUCUAGUAAUUCUUAAAACCUGUCUAAAGGUUCAAAUAUUUUCCAUUGCUUCCGUUUUUAUGCUCUUUAUUGUUCUUUAAAAGUGUCUUGAGGUUUUUUGUUUUUUUUUUACCACUAAAAGAAUAUGAAACCAUGAGGUUUGCACACUGACAAAUCCAAACACGAUCUAGCUGUUUACCGGUAGUUUCAUCUUGACAUUUUUCACUUGACUUAAACGAGCUUUCACACUUUCAUGGACUGAAUGUUCUUAACAUAAACAUCAGACUACCCUGAAUGAAAUGAAAACAAAGGAUCCUGGGAAG